This 301-nucleotide long non-coding RNA is filed under the name Nicotiana benthamiana. RNAcentral describes it as "long non-coding RNA (NBEN_LNC038470)". Lineage: Eukaryota; Viridiplantae; Streptophyta; Magnoliopsida; Solanales; Solanaceae. The record is from RNAcentral.
UAUAAUGAAACUUCCAUUAUUAAUGGAUAAGAGGAAACAGUAGAUCAUUAAACCCAACCCCUUGGAUCGGUUUUCCACAUAAAAAGUUCCAUGCUACAGAGACUUUAUUAUUCUACCUUUACUAUAAACAUCAGAUGAUGGAUGUGUAGUAAUUUUAGUAAAAGAAGACAGUUAGUGGAGAAGAACUAAAAGUGAUCUUCCGAGAUAGUUGGAGAGAUGUCCAUAAACAAAACAGCAGCCACGAGCUUCAUCAAUCAGUUCCAUUUAAUUAAUGCAGGGAAGAGAUUACAGUGUUUGUAAC